Molecule: ribosomal RNA, 465 nt
Filed under: uncultured Klebsiella sp.
Lineage: Bacteria; Pseudomonadati; Pseudomonadota; Gammaproteobacteria; Enterobacterales; Enterobacteriaceae
Description: bacterial SSU rRNA
Rfam family: Bacterial small subunit ribosomal RNA
Source: RNAcentral
CCUACGGGAGGCAGCAGUGGGGAAUAUUGCACAAUGGGCGCAAGCCUGAUGCAGCCAUGCCGCGUGUGUGAAGAAGGCCUUCGGGUUGUAAAGCACUUUCAGCGGGGAGGAAGGCGGUGAGGUUAAUAACCUCAUCGAUUGACGUUACCCGCAGAAGAAGCACCGGCUAACUCCGUGCCAGCAGCCGCGGUAAUACGGAGGGUGCAAGCGUUUAUCGGAAUUACUGGGCGUAAAGCGCACGCAGGCGGUCUGUCAAGUCGGAUGUGAAAUCCCCGGGCUCAACCUGGGAACUGCAUUCGAAACUGGCAGGCUAGAGUCUUGUAGAGGGGGGUAGAAUUCCAGGUGUAGCGGUGAAAUGCGUAGAGAUCUGGAGGAAUACCGGUGGCGAAGGCGGCCCCCUGGACAAAGACUGACGCUCAGGUGCGAAAGCGUGGGGAGCAAACAGGAUUAGAUACCCCAGUAGUC